This 457-nucleotide ribosomal RNA is filed under the name Actinomadura sp. YN-7-9. RNAcentral describes it as "bacterial SSU rRNA". It matches the Rfam family "Bacterial small subunit ribosomal RNA", at positions 57 to 527 of the family's 1533-position model. Lineage: Bacteria; Bacillati; Actinomycetota; Actinomycetes; Streptosporangiales; Thermomonosporaceae. The record is from RNAcentral.
GCAAGUCGAGCGGAAAGGCCCCUUCGGGGGUACUCGAGCGGCGAACGGGUGAGUAACACGUGAGCAACCUGCCCCUGACUCUGGGAUAAGCCCGGGAAACUGGGUCUAAUACCGGAUGUGACCAGCCUCCGCAUGGAGUGCUGGUGGAAAGUUUUUCGGUUGGGGAUGGGCUCGCGGCCUAUCAGCUUGUUGGUGGGGUGAUGGCCUACCAAGGCGACGACGGGUAACCGGCCUGAGAGGGCGACCGGUCACACUGGGACUGAGACACGGCCCAGACUCCUACGGGAGGCAGCAGUGGGGAAUAUUGCGCAAUGGGCGGAAGCCUGACGCAGCGACGCCGCGUGAGGGAUGACGGCCUUCGGGUUGUAAACCUCUUUCAGCAGGGACGAAGCUAACGUGACGGUACCUGCAGAAGAAGCGCCGGCUAACUACGUGCCAGCAGCCGCGGGGUAAUUCA